UGCCAGCAGCCGCGGUAAUACGAAGGGGGCUAGCGUUGCUCGGAAUUACUGGGCGUAAAGGGCGCGUAGGCGGGUGUUUAAGUCAGAGGUCAAAUCCCGGGGCUCAACCUCGGAACUGCCUUUGAUACUGGGCACCUAGAGUAUGGGAGAGGUGAGUGGAACUCCGAGUGUAGAGGUGAAAUUCGUAGAUAUUCGGAAGAACACCAGUGGCGAAGGCGACUCACUGGCCCAUUACUGACGCUGAGGCGCGAAAGCGUGGGGAGCAAACAGGAUUAGAUACCCUGGUAGUCCACGCCGUAAACGAUGAGUGCUAGUUGUCGGCAUGCAUGCAUGUCGGUGACGCAGCUAACGCAUUAAGCACUCCGCCUGGGGAGUACGGUCGCAAGAUAAAACUCAAAGGAAUGAC
RNAcentral lists this ribosomal RNA (406 nucleotides) under uncultured bacterium. Its description in RNAcentral is "bacterial SSU rRNA". It matches the Rfam family "Bacterial small subunit ribosomal RNA", at positions 506 to 914 of the family's 1533-position model. The record is from RNAcentral.